CCGAGUGAGGGUCCCCGUGGCCCGAACCUCCAACCCAUGUCUACCCUUACCUCUGUUGCUUCGGCGGGCCCGUGGGGCGACCCACCGCCGGCUCCGGCCGGCCCGUGCCCGUCAGAGGACCUAUGAACUCCAGUAACGGUGAUGUCUGAGCACGAAACAAAUAAUCA
This 167-nucleotide unclassified non-coding RNA is filed under the name uncultured fungus. RNAcentral describes it as "sequence contains ITS1, 5.8S rRNA gene". The record is from RNAcentral. Lineage: Eukaryota; Fungi.